UUUAAGAAAUACAUUUUAAAUGCAUUGUGUGUCUAGUAAUGGAUUGGAAGCAGUCUUAGAAAACUACAGCAUAGAAUAGAUAAAUGUUUCCUAGUUGAUGAUCCUCAACUUUUAUUCUGGAACUAGAAGAUACAGCAAUUGUUGCUCCUGCAAUAUAUUUGCAAAGCACUUAGCUUCCUGGAAAAGCAAUAAGAGAGAAGGAGGCUGGUAUCCUGGAGGAUGAC
Molecule: long non-coding RNA, 224 nt
Filed under: Bos taurus (domestic cattle)
Lineage: Eukaryota; Metazoa; Chordata; Mammalia; Artiodactyla; Bovidae
Description: long non-coding RNA NONBTAT025380
Source: RNAcentral